AGAGAACCUGGGCAUGUGCCCUCUGUGGAGAAAGUGACUUCAGAAACCGCUGAGGCUCUAUUAGCCUGGGAUUCUAAACUCGGGGGGACAUGAAAAACUCAAGAGACGAGUCAUCAGGCUCUAUAUUCAUAAGACUCUUCUCUGUGUGUGUGUGUGUCUCUUUUCAAACAAAUAGCACUGCGCAGCAUCCUUAGAGACUACAGCCAAAUGUCCUUCAUGUAUUUUCUCUACAUUUCAAGAAUCUCGGGACCAUGCUUCCUGUCUAAUGUGUGACCUUGAGAGUUAAAAUCAAGGGGAAAAGGUCACCGAAUUGGGGGCAAGUUUGAGUUCCCGUCACCAGCCACAAUCUCUAUAUCAAAUGGAGGACAACACACCGCCUGGGCCUCAGCCAGGUUUGCCUGAAGCAGGGCCAGGCAGCCUCAAGGCCUCCAUGGGAUGGUGUGAAGUGUCUACAGGCAUCCGAGUGAACCCACAGGGAGAGUUCGGCUGGCACACAAGGAGACGGGCCAAGGCGCGGCGGGCGAGGGCGGCACAAGCAUGGUGCUGCGACACCACUGCUGGGAGCAGGGCUGAAAGGUGUCUUUUG
This 586-nucleotide long non-coding RNA is filed under the name Pan troglodytes (chimpanzee). RNAcentral's name for it is "long non-coding RNA NONPTRT017339". The record is from RNAcentral. Lineage: Eukaryota; Metazoa; Chordata; Mammalia; Primates; Hominidae.